GCACUAUGUAGCUCACUUGGUUAGAGCAUGGUGCUGAUAAAACCAAGGUUGCUGGUUUGAUCCCUGUAUGGGACA
This 75-nucleotide transfer RNA is filed under the name Podarcis lilfordi (Lilford's wall lizard). Its description in RNAcentral is "tRNA.Ile". The stretch from base 9 to 67 matches the Rfam family "tRNA", at positions 8 to 63 of the family's 71-position model. Rfam says of the family: Transfer RNA (tRNA) molecules are approximately 80 nucleotides in length. Their secondary structure includes four short double-helical elements and three loops (D, anti-codon, and T loops). The record is from RNAcentral. Lineage: Eukaryota; Metazoa; Chordata; Lepidosauria; Squamata; Lacertidae.